GGGGGUGAACGGUUUCGACAACGUUUGCUGAAAAGAGUGAAGCGGGUCGAGGAUCAACGGUUAUCUCGUAAACGCUCCGUUGAAAAAAACAAGUGCCAAUUCAAACAGCACUGGUGCCUCAGCUCAGGCUGAGCUCACUCUCGCUGCCUAGUCAGCGAAAGUGAUUACCCGUCGGUCCAUGGGCGUCUUCCCUGUGGGUACCGGCGUCGACUAGAAGACUUACCAAUCGCUCCGGUCAUCGGGAGUGCGCGGGACAUUAAACAGUGACUAGGCCGCUUUUCCCGUCGGGUCGCACAACAGCGGGAAGGCCAAACAGGCGAUUAAAGCGACUGCACCCGGAGAAGCCUCUGCUUGGUUACGUUGGACCCGAGUUCGAUUCUCGGCACCUCCACAA
This 394-nucleotide transfer-messenger RNA is filed under the name Candidatus Nanopelagicales. RNAcentral describes it as "UBA10799 sp003452655 Standard tmRNA". It matches the Rfam family "transfer-messenger RNA". Rfam says of the family: Bacterial tmRNA, also known as 10Sa RNA or SsrA, is named for its dual tRNA and mRNA-like properties. Its role is to liberate the mRNA from a stalled ribosome. To accomplish this part of the tmRNA is used as a reading frame that ends in a translation stop signal. The record is from RNAcentral. Lineage: Bacteria; Bacillati; Actinomycetota; Actinomycetes. RNAcentral also lists the same sequence under 2 other names.